CAAGUCUUAAAGUGGUCCAGUUUGGGGACCUCUGGCCUAGUCUGAUGGACCUUAUGUGGAUGACCCCAGAACCAAGUGGGGAAAGUCCUUUGUGUGGUUUCCAUUCAGUGAAGUCCUGUCAACCCAGUGAAGUUGAACAAGCUCUUUUCUUGGACUUUGCUUGUCCAGAUCACGACACAGGUUGCAGAUGUCCCCACUGUGAGUGUAGUUACCUUCAAGGUGUUCGAAACUGCGCAUUCUGGAACAGAUUAGGCAUUGUGCAGAUAGGCCCAGGUGGUUGUUGAUGGUGCCAUCACAACAGCACUUAGCAUUAGCAGUUAUAUAUCACUUUCACUAUGGUUUACAGCCCUCUCUAAGCGGUUUACAGAGUCAGCCUCUUGCCCCCAACAAUCUCGGUCCUCAUUUUACCCACCUCGGAAGGAUGGAAGGCUAAGUCAACCUUGAGCCGGUCAGGAUCAAACUGCUGGCAGUGGGCAGAGUCAGCUGGCAAUUGUGCUUUCUAGCCGCCGUGCCACUAUGGCUCUUUUCAAACAUUCUGAAACUGGCCCUCUUGAGUCGGGGUCAUCGCGGCCUGCUGCUUUCUUUUCUCCUCCUGCCUCUGCUAAUCCUGGUUUCUGCUCUACUUCUUUUGUGCCUUCGGGAAGGAAAAGCUGAGCUCACCGCCGAGAGCCUCAUACCAGGCCUCGAAGCGCCUGUGCCCCAGCUCCCAUCCUUGCAGGCGGAUUCGGUGGCUUCGAGCAGAACAGAUUCAAUCACUGUGGAUGACUCCUUGCUUGAUUGCUCUCUGCUUUCUAACCCUGGCACUGAUCUCCUGGACGAGUUUGCUCCUUUAGCGGUUUCAUCCCAAACUCACAAAGAAGAUACUAACCUGAUAUCAGGCUUUGAUGUCCCUGGGGGCUCUGAAAAAGUGGCAGAAGAUGAGUUUGACCCCAUCCCUGUGUUAAUAUCCAAAAAUUCACAAGGUGGGCAUUCUAGAAACAACAGUGGGAGCUCUGAAUCCAGUCUUCCCAACCUAGCCAGGUCUCUCCUGCUAGUGGAUCAGCUGAUAGACCUGUAGCGAUUACUCAGUAACAGGCGGCUUCUGUAACGUACCUAAACUCCUUUUUUGUUCUCUCUCUCUCUCUCUCUCUCUCUCUCUCUCU
Notechis scutatus (mainland tiger snake) is the source of this 1142-nucleotide non-coding RNA. The record is from RefSeq and is a predicted model, not a curated record. Lineage: Eukaryota; Metazoa; Chordata; Lepidosauria; Squamata; Elapidae.